This is a long non-coding RNA of Patella vulgata (common limpet), 277 nucleotides long. RefSeq lists it as uncharacterized. Lineage: Eukaryota; Metazoa; Mollusca; Gastropoda; Patellidae. The record is from RefSeq and is a predicted model, not a curated record. The transcript has 3 exons.
GAUGAUAUAAAGAAGCAUGGCCGGCUCGGGAUGUUGAUAUUUUUUCAACGGCCUAUUUCCUGAAAUUUUGAAUGGAAAGUGUCAGAAAUGGUGUCAGGUUACUGUGCAAGAGUGGUAUGAUUGACCUCAACACAAGUAUUAAGGCAAAAGGGAAUCAACUUUAUUUGAGGCCAGAUACAUGGAACGGUUCCACCAGUUAUUUGUUAUCCCACCCCGGCACACAACAGAAUGAAGGCGGCACUUUGAGCAGUCGCCAUCGUAACACAUGAUAGUGGAC